Molecule: ribosomal RNA, 468 nt
Filed under: uncultured bacterium
Lineage: Bacteria
Description: partial 16S ribosomal RNA
Rfam family: Bacterial small subunit ribosomal RNA
Source: RNAcentral
GACGAACGCUGGCGGCGUGCUUAACACAUGCAAGUCGAACGGAAAGGCCCUGCUUUUGUGGGGUGCUCGAGUGGCGCACGGGUGAGUAACACGUGAGUAACCUGCCCUUGUAUUUGGGAUAAAUUCAGGAAAAUGGGGCUAAUACCGGAUAGGAGAUCCUGCUGCAUGGUGGGGGAUGGAAAGUUUCGGCUGUUGGGGCUGGAAUCGCGGCUUAUCAGCUUGUUGGUGGAGUAGUGGCUUACCAAGGCUAUGACGGGUAGCCGGCCUGAGAGGGUGACCGGCCACAUUAGUACUGAGGGACGGCGCAGUCGCGUACGGUAGGCAGCGGGGGGGAACAUUACACAGUGGGGGGGAGUGUGAGGCGGCGGCAUCGCGAUCGUAAUGACCUGUUACUGGGUAAGAACCACUUUCUCAGUAGAUGAGGCGGGAUUGACGGUAAUGGAUAAGAAAGCACCGGCUAACUACGUG